UUGAAUUUUAAUGAAGAGCUUGGUUGUAGCUGGCCCAUUCAUUUGGGCAUGUGCACACCUUCCUCUUUCAAUCCCACACACACCUGUGAACCUGUGAGACAGAGAUGGGGAAUUUACUUGCUGCUUUUUGGAAUACAAAGGCAAUAGGUUAUUGGACCCCCCCUCUGUCUACUCAAUUAAUAUAAACUCAAUUUAUUUUAAAACGAAUGUAAUGGAUGUAACACAUCUCAUAC
RNAcentral lists this unclassified non-coding RNA (233 nucleotides) under soil metagenome. RNAcentral's name for it is "partial internal transcribed spacer 1". The record is from RNAcentral.